AACCGGUAGAGGGAGCAGUAGCGCAACACAAAGGACGUCAUCUGCCGGAAGUUACCAGAGAAGAAGGAGAAGGGUAAUGUCUUUGCCGCGCCGCUGGGGACAGUUCAAAUGAAACGAGGAGAAAAUGCACGAUUUCCGUGCUGCCGUCUGAUGCUCCAAUGAAAGAAGUACCAGAAACCAAAGAGAAGGAAAUAACAUUUCACAGGUUCCCAAAAGAUAAGGUGAAAAGAGAGACGUGGGCAUUAACACAGAGGAGAAAUGACUUUGAGCCAAAUGACCGCUCGGUUGUUUGAGGCUUCAACAAAACUGGACAGAAGACUCGUUUAAAGGAAGAAGCCAUCUCGUCAUUUUCUUACAACCUUUACAAAAUUACAAAAAAUUUAAGGGUGGCUUCUUCCACAAACGACUGCUUCACCAAGACCAUAAGAGGAAUCAAGAAGUGGAAGGAGGGGACUGGCAGGAUGAAAGUGAUUAGAUCAAGUCAUGCAGAUGAUGUUCCCUGUGGAGAGGAUGCACCUGAAAGGGACCUAGGCUCCAAAUCAAGAAGAGUAGAGACAAGUUUGCAGCAUGUCGAUCAUGAUUACAACCAAAGACCCCUGCCAUUGGAGGAGCAACUUCAAGAGGCCCAGAAGACCAUUGCAUGCCAAGAAGAGCUUGUGAAACUAAGA
This 668-nucleotide long non-coding RNA is filed under the name Cyclopterus lumpus (lumpfish). RNAcentral's name for it is "lncRNA (ENSCLMG00005014531.1)". The record is from RNAcentral. Lineage: Eukaryota; Metazoa; Chordata; Actinopteri; Perciformes; Cyclopteridae.